AUUGAACGCUGGCGGCAGGCCUAACACAUGCAAGUCGAGCGGAUGAAGGGAGCUUGCUCCUGGAUUCAGCGGCGGACGGGUGAGUAAUGCCUAGCAAUCUGCCUGGUAGUGGGGGAUAACGUCCGGAAACGGGCGCUAAUACCGCAUACGUCCUGAGGGAGAAAGUGGGGGAUCUUCGGACCUCACGCUAUCAGAUGAGCCUAGGUCGGAUUAGCUAGUUGGUGGGGUAAAGGCCUACCAAGGCGACGAUCCGUAACUGGUCUGAGAGGAUGAUCAGUCACACUGGAACUGAGACACGGUCCAAACUCCUACGGGAGGCAGCAGUGGGGAAUAUUGGACAAUGGGCGAAAGCCUGAUCCAGCCAUGCCGCGUGUGUGAAGAAGGUCUUCGGAUUGUAAAGCACUUUAAGUUGGGAGGAAGGGCAGUAAGUUAAUACCUUGCUGUUUUGACGUUACCAACAGAAUAAGCACCGGCUAACUUCGUG
RNAcentral lists this ribosomal RNA (484 nucleotides) under uncultured bacterium. RNAcentral describes it as "partial 16S ribosomal RNA". It matches the Rfam family "Bacterial small subunit ribosomal RNA", at positions 30 to 507 of the family's 1533-position model. The record is from RNAcentral.